Molecule: ribosomal RNA, 500 nt
Filed under: uncultured bacterium
Lineage: Bacteria
Description: partial 16S ribosomal RNA
Rfam family: Bacterial small subunit ribosomal RNA
Source: RNAcentral
AUUGAACGCUGGCGGAAUGCUUUACACAUGCAAGUCGAACGGCAGCACGGACUUCGGUCUGGUGGCGAGUGGCGAACGGGUGAGUAAUGUAUCGGAACGUGCCCAGUCGUGGGGGAUAACGUAGUGAAAAUUACGCUAAUACCGCAUACGAUCUAUGGAUGUAAGCGGGGGAUCGCAAGACCUCGCGCGAUUGGAGCGGCCGAUAUCAGAUUAGGGAGUUGGUGGGGUAAGGGCCCACCAAGCCAACGAUCUGUAGCUGGUCUGAGAGGACGACCGGCCACACUGUAACUGAGACACGGUCCAGACUCCUACGGGAGGCAGCAGUGGGGAAUUUUGGACAAUGGGCGAAAGCCUGAUCCAGCCAUUCCGCGUGCAGGAUGAGGGCCCUCGGGUUGUAAACUGCUUUUGUACAGAACGAAAAGGUUUCUACUAAUACUAGGAGCUCAUGACGGUACUGUAAGAAUAAGCACCGGCUAACUACGUGCCAGCAGCCGCCGUAA